AACGAAAAGCAUAGUCUCAAAAACUCUCAACGCUCUUUUGUUUGAUCCGAUCUAGUGAAUACCGGUCAGGGACUAUUUCGAUGUUGAAUGCGAACCGGUCAAGGAAACCCUUGGCCAAUGUUUUCCAACCAGUCAACUUUUUCGGCUCCUGAGACAUGAACCACUCCAAGGCUUCACCAUUCAAACUUCGACUGAAUAGGCGCAUCAAUAACGCCUCAUUUUUCC
Molecule: long non-coding RNA, 225 nt
Filed under: Capsicum annuum
Lineage: Eukaryota; Viridiplantae; Streptophyta; Magnoliopsida; Solanales; Solanaceae
Description: long non-coding RNA (CANN_LNC013036)
Source: RNAcentral